AGGAAGGUGAGGAUGAUGUCAAGUCAGCAUGACCUUUAUAUCCAGGGCUACACACACGCUACAAUGGUCUGUACAAUGGGUAGCCAAGCCGCGAGGCGGAGCCAAUCCUGAAAGCAGGCCUCAGUUCAGAUUGCAGUCUGCAACUCGACUGCAUGAAGCCGGAGUUGCUAGUAACCGCAGGUCAGCAAUACUGCGGUGAAUACGUUCCCGGGUCUU
This 216-nucleotide ribosomal RNA is filed under the name uncultured Anaerolineaceae bacterium. RNAcentral describes it as "partial 16S ribosomal RNA". It matches the Rfam family "Bacterial small subunit ribosomal RNA", at positions 1167 to 1382 of the family's 1533-position model. The record is from RNAcentral. Lineage: Bacteria; Bacillati; Chloroflexota; Anaerolineae; Anaerolineales; Anaerolineaceae.